Molecule: transfer RNA, 72 nt
Filed under: Desmophyllum pertusum
Lineage: Eukaryota; Metazoa; Cnidaria; Anthozoa; Scleractinia; Caryophylliidae
Description: Lophelia pertusa tRNA
Rfam family: tRNA
About the family: Transfer RNA (tRNA) molecules are approximately 80 nucleotides in length. Their secondary structure includes four short double-helical elements and three loops (D, anti-codon, and T loops). Further hydrogen bonds mediate the characteristic L-shaped molecular structure. tRNAs have two regions of fundamental functional importance: the anti-codon, which is responsible for specific mRNA codon recognition, and the 3' end, to which the tRNAs corresponding amino acid is attached (by aminoacyl-tRNA synthetases). tRNAs cope with the degeneracy of the genetic code in two manners: having more than one tRNA (with a specific anti-codon) for a particular amino acid; and 'wobble' base-pairing, i.e. permitting non-standard base-pairing at the 3rd anti-codon position.
Source: Rfam by way of RNAcentral
UCUCCUGUAGCUCAGUGGUUGAGCGUCCGCCCCGUGUGCGGGAGGGCAUGGGUUCGAGUCCUGUUGGGAUAA